This 218-nucleotide long non-coding RNA is filed under the name Lathyrus oleraceus (garden pea). RNAcentral's name for it is "Pisum sativum (pea) long non-coding RNA (PSAT_LNC015794)". The record is from RNAcentral. Lineage: Eukaryota; Viridiplantae; Streptophyta; Magnoliopsida; Fabales; Fabaceae.
UUUCACCACAAUGUCUAUGAUCUUUCCCCAGCCUAGGGCUUCUCCGUUCUUCACCACUUCCAUGGCUUGUUUGUAAGAAGAAAUGGACAACUUCUUCUCUUUCUCAACACUGAUGGCUUCCCCUACCUUGACGGUUUCAACAGCCUGACCUGGUGUUUCACAUUUUACACCGUCCAUUCCUACUUCCAUCAUCCUCUGAGUCGUCUCCCUCAUCAUUG